RNAcentral lists this ribosomal RNA (332 nucleotides) under uncultured bacterium. RNAcentral's name for it is "bacterial SSU rRNA". It matches the Rfam family "Bacterial small subunit ribosomal RNA", at positions 30 to 363 of the family's 1533-position model. The record is from RNAcentral.
AUUGAACGCUGGCGGCAUGCCUUACACAUGCAAGUCGAACGGCAGCACGGGAGCAAUCCUGGUGGCGAGUGGCGAACGGGUGAGUAAUAUAUCGGAACGUGCCCAGUCGUGGGGAUAACGUAGCGAAAGCUACGCUAAUACCGCAUACGAUCUAUGGAUGAAAGCGGGGGAUCGCAAGACCUCGCGCGAUUGGAGCGGCCGAUAUCAGAUUAGGUAGUUGGUGAGGUAAAGGCUCACCAAGCCGACGAUCUGUAGCUGGUCUGAGAGGACGACCAGCCACACUGGGACUGAGACACGGCCCAGACUCCUACGGGAGGCAGCAGUGGGGAAUA